Molecule: ribosomal RNA, 407 nt
Filed under: uncultured bacterium
Lineage: Bacteria
Description: partial 16S ribosomal RNA
Rfam family: Bacterial small subunit ribosomal RNA
Source: RNAcentral
AUUGAACGCUGGCGGCAGGCCUAACACAUGCAAGUCGAGCGGAGCGGCGGACGGGUGAGUAAUGCCUAGGAAUCUGCCUGGUCGUGGGGGGUAACGUCCGGAAACGAGCCCUAAUACCGCAUCCUUUCAGAUGGGCCUAGGUCGGAUUAGAUAGUUGGGGGGGUAAAGGCCUACCAAGGCGACGAUCCCUAGCUGGUCUGAGAGGAUGACCAGCCACACUGGAACUGAGACACGGUCCAGACUCCUACGGGAGGCAGCAGUGGGGAAUAUUGCACAAUGGGCGCAAGCCUGAUGCAGCCAUGCCGCGUGUAUGAAGAAGGCCUUCGGGUUGUAAAGUACUUUCAGCGGGGAGGCGUUACCCGCAGAAGAAGCACCGGCUAACUCCGUGCCAGCCGCCGCGGUAAUUC